UAAAGAGUUGGCUUACAAUCGCCACUUCACACAAUGAACAUAUAAUAAAUCAUACAUCAUUCAGAGUACACACAUGGUCCGACUACGGACGAAGCCAAAAGAAAAGAAGAUAACCCAACUGCUAGAUCCCCGAUCGUCCCAACUGGGCUCCACUACUGAUCAACAUGAAACGAUAUAUAGCAACAACCAAGGUCUUCGUUGAGCUCCCAUCUGAGCUCGGUUGCAUCACCUGCACUGGUAUCAUCGGCACCUGCAACUGUUGUGAUAGUAUCUGGUGAGUCACAAGGACUCAACAAUCUCAAAACCCGUGAGAUCAAGACUAUUUAAGCUUAUGGGUAGGAAGGGGUAAAGUGGUGAGGUUGCAGCAGCGACUAAGAAUAUAUGGUGGCUAACAUACGCAAAUAAGAGCGAGAAGAGAGCAAACGGAACGGUCGUGAACUAGCAAUGAUCAAGAAGUGAUCCUGAACUCCUACUUACGUCAAACAUAACCCAAAACCGUGUUCACUUCCCGGACUCCGCGAAAAGAGACCAUCACGGCUACACACGCGGUUGAUGCGUUUUAAUUCGGAUCUAGUGUCAAGUUAUCUACAACCGGACAUUAACAAAUUCCCAUCUGCCUAUAACCACAGGCACGGCUUUCGAAAGAUUAUACCCUGCAGGGGUGUCCCAACUUAACCCAUGACAAGCUCUCGCGAUCAACGAAGGAAUAGACCUUCUCCCAGGAAGACCCGAUCAGACACGGAAUCCCGGUUUACAAGACAUUUCGACAAUGGUAAAACAAGACCAGCAAAGCCGCCCGAUGCGCCGACAAAUCCCGAUAGGAGCUGCACAUAUCUCGUUCUCAGGGCACACCGGAUGGGUCAGCCUACGAGUAAAACCAGCCCUCGAGUUGCCCCGAGGUGGCCCCGCAGUCUGCCCAUUUCGGACCAACACUCGAAGGAGCACUGGCCCGGGGGGGUUAAAAUAAAGAUGACCCUUGAGUCUGCAGAACCCAAGGGAAAAAGGCUUAGGUGGCAAAUGGUAAAACCAAAGUUGGGCCUUGCUGGAGGAGUUUUAUUCAAAGCGAACUAUCAAGGGGGUCCCAUAAAUCACCCAACCGCGUAAGGAACGCAAAAUCCGGGAACAUAACACCGGUAUGACGGAAGCUAGGGCGGCAAGAGUGGAACAAAACACCAGGCAUAAGGCCGAGUCUUCCACCCUUUACCAAGUAUAUAGAUGCAUUAAUUAAAUAAGAGAUAUUGUGAUAUCCCAAAAUAAUCCUGUCCAUCAUGAAGCAAUCUUCAACUUCACCUGCAACUAACAACGCUAUAAGAGGGGCUGAGCCAAAGCGGUAACAUAGCCAAACAACGGUUUGCUAGGAAGGGUGAAAAGGUUAGAGGCUGACAUGGCAAUAUGGGAGGCAUGGUAAACAAGUGAUAGGUAGCGCAGCAUAGCGAUAGAACGAAGCAACUAGCAAGCAAAGAUAGAAGUGAUAUCGAGGGUAAUGGUCAUCUUGCCAGAGAUUCCGCAAGGAAGAAGAACGAGUCCAUGAAGAAGACAAACAGACGUAGUCGAACGAAUCCUCACAACUCUGGAAUGAAACGGAAGCUAACGAGGGAAGCAAACCGGAAAGAAGCAAGCAACAUGGUAAACACACAAGCAUAAACAUGGCAUGAUGCACAAUCAAGUAUGAUGCAUGUCCGAUUUAAAUGAGGCAUGGCAUGGCAAAAUGCAACAAACAAUACUACAAAUUAAGUGGAGCUCAAUAUGCAACGGCUUGCAUAUUGACGAAACACCACAUUCAAGUUAUUUAGUUUGCUCUCGUUUAGGAACAAGGCAAGAUUAAAUGUUGGUUAGCAUGGCAAGAGGUGAAGCAUAAUUAAUCUAACUUUUUAGGCAAGUUCAAAUGAGGCCGGAAAUAACAACAACAAUUCCAGAAAAUCCUCAUGUGCAUAUUUUAGAUUUGGUACUGUUCUGCCCUAUAACAUAUUUUAGAGUUGUUAAACAUGCAAAGUAGUGCUACCAUGUUAAUCUAUGCAUUUUUCUACCCCAUUUGCAUAUAUAAUUUAUUUAAAUCCGAGCUACGGUUAUUUAGUUAUGAAAUAAAUUAUUUUAACAUGGCAUUUAUGCAAAUUAAUGCAAACAACAAGUUAAACAUUUUAAACAUGCAUGAAAGUUGGAUAUUGUGAAACUAGAUGAAAAUCUAAGCAUUUUACAUAUGUAAGAUGUCUCAUUUAGAUGCAUGGUUCAAUAGUUAUUAGCAGUUUAAAAUAGGGACAGUUCUGCAAAUAUGCAAUGCUCUGGGAAUUUAACAAAUCGCUGACAACAGAAAAAAACGAACGGGCCGAAUCUGAGCGCUCUGGGCUGGGGGAGCUGCUCACCAUGGGCCAAGCCCAGAUCGAUGGAGAGGCAGAGCUUUGAGGCUCCUGGCCCAG
RNAcentral lists this long non-coding RNA (2414 nucleotides) under Triticum aestivum (bread wheat). Its description in RNAcentral is "long non-coding RNA (TAES_LNC002919)". Lineage: Eukaryota; Viridiplantae; Streptophyta; Magnoliopsida; Poales; Poaceae. The record is from RNAcentral.